RNAcentral lists this transfer RNA (94 nucleotides) under Deltaproteobacteria bacterium. Its description in RNAcentral is "tRNA-Ser". It matches the Rfam family "tRNA". Rfam says of the family: Transfer RNA (tRNA) molecules are approximately 80 nucleotides in length. Their secondary structure includes four short double-helical elements and three loops (D, anti-codon, and T loops). Lineage: Bacteria; Pseudomonadati; Myxococcota; Myxococcia. The record is from RNAcentral.
GGAGAGGUGUCCGAGUCGGCCGAAGGAGCUCGCCUGCUAAGCGAGUAUACGCCUUUAAAGUGUAUCCAGGGUUCGAAUCCCUGCCUCUCCGCCA